Molecule: long non-coding RNA, 284 nt
Filed under: Phoenix dactylifera (date palm)
Lineage: Eukaryota; Viridiplantae; Streptophyta; Magnoliopsida; Arecales; Arecaceae
Description: long non-coding RNA (PDAC_LNC009705)
Source: RNAcentral
GAUUAUAGUGAAAUUUCCAAGAGAUCUUGGGGAGUGGAUGUAGGUGAUGGGGUGCACCGAACCACUAUAUGUUUGUUGUGUUUGUGAUGCUUUUUGCCAUUGUCUAACUUGCUCACUUACUUACUUAGAUAAAUUGCUUGCUUAACUCUUAUCCGCGCAUCCUUUAGUUGCAAGCAUAUUCAAUUUACUUAAUCAAGUCUCAUUCAAUAAAUCAAACUGUUGCUAAGUUUAAAUUUCACUGUGCAUCUAUACAACUUAGCAUAAUUAAUUGAAAAGUUUUAGAA